Molecule: long non-coding RNA, 245 nt
Organism: Eucalyptus grandis
Lineage: Eukaryota; Viridiplantae; Streptophyta; Magnoliopsida; Myrtales; Myrtaceae
Exons: 3
Source: RefSeq, a predicted model, not a curated record
GGAGAACCGGUUUGCCUGGUAUGUGGCAAAUAUGGAGAAUAUAUUUGCGAUGAGACUGAUGAUGAUAUCUGCAGCUUGGAGUGCAAAGCGGUGCUUUUACGAACUCUAAAAUUUAAAGAGGAUCCCUUGAGCAACCAAAGUCCGGUCACAGCUUCAGCUGAGUUUGUUUCUGGAUCAUCUGUGCCUGAAGAAGAAAAUUAUGCUUGGGAUUAUGUUCGGCACCAGUGGUCCAAUAGGAAAUCCAA